RNAcentral lists this ribosomal RNA (555 nucleotides) under Arcopilus sp. RNAcentral describes it as "partial 28S ribosomal RNA". It matches the Rfam family "Eukaryotic large subunit ribosomal RNA", at positions 59 to 640 of the family's 3401-position model. The record is from RNAcentral. Lineage: Eukaryota; Fungi; Ascomycota; Sordariomycetes; Sordariales; Chaetomiaceae.
AAGAAACCAACAGGGAUUGCCCUAGUAACGGCGAGUGAAGCGGCAACAGCUCAAAUUUGAAAUCUGGCCUCGGCCCGAGUUGUAAUUUGCAGAGGAAGCUUUAGGCGCGGCACCAUCUGAGUCCCCUGGAACGGGGCGCCAUAGAGGGUGAGAGCCCCGUAUAGUUGGAUGCCUAGCCUGUGUAAAGCUCCUUCGACGAGUCGAGUAGUUUGGGAAUGCUGCUCAAAAUGGGAGGUAAAUUUCUUCUAAAGCUAAAUACCGGCCAGAGACCGAUAGCGCACAAGUAGAGUGAUCGAAAGAUGAAAAGCACUUUGAAAAGAGGGUUAAAUAGCACGUGAAAUUGUUGAAAGGGAAGCGCUUGUGACCAGACUUGCGCCGGGCUGAUCAUCCGGUGUUCUCACCGGUGCACUCUGCCCGGCUCAGGCCAGCAUCGGUUCUCGCGGGGGGAUAAAGGCCCAGGGAACGUAGCUCCUCCGGGAGUGUUAUAGCCCUGGGUGUAAUGCCCUCGCGGGGACCGAGGUUCGCGCAUCUGCAAGGAUGCUGGCGUAAUGGUCA